This 503-nucleotide ribosomal RNA is filed under the name uncultured Glomus. Its description in RNAcentral is "SSU rRNA". It matches the Rfam family "Eukaryotic small subunit ribosomal RNA", at positions 569 to 1077 of the family's 1831-position model. Lineage: Eukaryota; Fungi; Glomeromycota; Glomeromycetes; Glomerales; Glomeraceae. The record is from RNAcentral.
AGCAGCCGCGGUAAUUCCAGCUCCAAUAGCGUAUAUUAAAGUUGUUGCAGUUAAAAAGCUCGUAGUUGAAUUUCGGGGUCAGUAGGUCGGUCGUGCCACUGGUAUGCACUGGUCUCACUGAUUCCUCCUUCUUGAAGAACCGUAAUGUCAUUAACUUGGUGUUGCGGGGAAACAGGACUGUUACCUUGAAAAAUUAGAGUGUUUAAAGCAGGCCAGCGCCUGAAUACAUUAGCAUGGAAUAAUGAAAUAGGACGUUCGAUCCUAUUUUGUUGGUUUCUAGGAUUGACGUAAUGAUUAAUAGGGAUAGUUGGGGGCAUUAGUAUUCAAUUGUCAGAGGUGAAAUUCUUGGAUUUAUUGAAGACUAACUACUGCGAAAGCAUUUGCCAAGGAUGUUUUCAUUAAUCAAGAACGAAAGUUAGGGGAUCGAAGACGAUCAGAUACCGUCGUAGUCUUAACCAUAAACUAUGCCGACUAGGGAUCGGAUGAUGUUAAUUUUAUAAUGA